GUGUUUAAUAGAGUUUGGGAGGGAGGGAAGUUGCCACAAAGCUGGAAGGAGGCAGUGAUAAUAUCGAUACGUAAACCAGGGAAGGACAAAGCCUGGAAACUACAGACCAGCAGCUUUAACAUCCAACGUCUGCAAAAUAAUGGAGAGAAUGAUGACAGGGCAAAAAAGGACUCCAAAUUAAAAAAAAGAUAAAAAUGAAAGACUGGUGCAUUGUGCAGUUUAGCACUGGUGGUACAGAAAUAGUCCCUAGAUCAUGGAUAAAUGGGGAGAAAUUGUCAUGGCCUCCAUAUCCUCCGUGAGACACAUUCAGGAUCCACGACGCAGUAAAGAGGAGAGUUCAUCCUGGUGCAACAUGGCUCACCUAUGCACCAGUCCGACUUCUAAUAAGCCAUGGUGGGUAUCAUCUGGAUUGGUGUUGUAUAAAUGUAACAAUAACAAGUUUUUCGUGUCCUAAUUUAUGUCUGGCCAUACAUUGUGUUUGUACUUCCAGACACAUUUCACGAAGCAGAACGCAGUCUUCAGAAAUAUCUAAUUGAACACUGUGAUACGUCUGACCUUCAGUCCGAAGCUGAAACUCAGACCAGUCAUAAAAGAAAGCACAAACCAAAUCCCCUGUACACAUAUAGUGACUCAGAGGAUGAGCAGCCCACAAAAAAAUGGUUUCCCCAGGCCCCUCGAGUGAAAGUACCAGACCUGACGAGAGCUGUUAACGAACUCCGUGAGGAGGUCAGAGCCAUCCGCAAUACCGGCUGCAAUGAAUCGGUAGAUGCUGGGGUACUGCCUCUGGAUUUGCCCUUGCACAACAUUGAGGAGCUAAACAAUGCAGAGCCAGCUCUUCAAUCACAAGAGGCAAAUAAGGCAAUGGUCUCCACUUCAUCAGACAUCACCUAGACUCAGAGCUGGAUGAGGCCAGCACAGACAGCGGCCUAACCGACGAAGAUGAUGGAUCCAUGGUGUCAGGAAAGCCAGAAGCAGGGGAGCUGGAGAGGUACCUUUCAUGUCCAUUCACUGGAGGUGUGGAUCUAUUGCAUGGCGUUCCUCACAUCAAGAAGCUGUUGAUCAAAGUCAAUACAGCUCUUCAUGCAUCAGGAGCUUGUGAAGGACUUCUCAGUCAUGCUGGACUCCUGUUCACUGCUGCUGAAGCUUAACCAUCACCUCACUGAGUGAAGAAAGGGCACAUUUUUGCUAAAUAUGCAGAAAUAGAUGCACACUUAUACAAUUUAUGGUAAACUGAGCUGCCUUGUAUGUACAUAUGAUGAAGAUGCCUCGUUCUGUUUUCUCUGAGGCUGCUGUGCCAUUUGGAGCAAAGAUGAAUAUAAAGUUUACAGCAUAUCU
Molecule: non-coding RNA, 1335 nt
Organism: Maylandia zebra (zebra mbuna)
Lineage: Eukaryota; Metazoa; Chordata; Actinopteri; Cichliformes; Cichlidae
Source: RefSeq, a predicted model, not a curated record